GGCAUUAAUAAAAUGCAGUGUGGAGUUAAUGUUGCAAUUGCUGUGUGAGAGCAUCUGGGAGUACAGAUAUGUGGACCCCUGGGAGAAGACAACUUGAACUGCGGUGCCCAGAAAUACAAAGUUGGAGACACCUGCCUUAAAAGGUACACUGUAGGCACUGUGACCCCCUUCAUGUAAUUGAAGUGGUUAUAGUGCCUGAAGCCCCUGCCACUAUCCCUUCAAUGAGGGUUAAAAUAUUUUCAAAGGAAGGUCC
This is a non-coding RNA of Pelobates cultripes (western spadefoot toad), 253 nucleotides long. Lineage: Eukaryota; Metazoa; Chordata; Amphibia; Anura; Pelobatidae. The record is from the annotation of a GenBank genome assembly.